This 75-nucleotide transfer RNA is filed under the name Paracoccaceae bacterium. RNAcentral describes it as "Rhodobacteraceae bacterium (activated sludge metagenome) tRNA-Lys". It matches the Rfam family "tRNA". Rfam says of the family: Transfer RNA (tRNA) molecules are approximately 80 nucleotides in length. Their secondary structure includes four short double-helical elements and three loops (D, anti-codon, and T loops). RNAcentral also lists the same sequence under 3 other names. Lineage: Bacteria; Pseudomonadati; Pseudomonadota; Alphaproteobacteria; Rhodobacterales; Paracoccaceae. The record is from RNAcentral.
GGGCCCGUAGCUCAGUGGUAGAGCAGUUGACUCUUAAUCAAUUGGUCGAAGGUUCGAAUCCUUCCGGGCCCACCA